Molecule: long non-coding RNA, 235 nt
Filed under: Lathyrus oleraceus (garden pea)
Lineage: Eukaryota; Viridiplantae; Streptophyta; Magnoliopsida; Fabales; Fabaceae
Description: Pisum sativum (pea) long non-coding RNA (PSAT_LNC039219)
Source: RNAcentral
GUGUAAAGCGGCUUAUGCAGCUUUUGUUUCAAUCCAUUACCUUCCUUUUUUAUUUUUGUCUCAUUUGACUUAUGACACUUGGGCUUAGUAAAAAUGUAAAUGGGCUCAUUUAUGCAAUGGUUUUUUCAUGGAUGUUAAAUUGGAUAAAAAUGGAUUUAAUGGAUUAUGAAGUGGACAUGGACUUUGAUACUUGGAUAAUGACAAAUUAAUUUGGAUAUUUGGAUUUAACAUGUGG